RNAcentral lists this ribosomal RNA (497 nucleotides) under uncultured bacterium. RNAcentral describes it as "partial 16S ribosomal RNA". It matches the Rfam family "Bacterial small subunit ribosomal RNA", at positions 28 to 507 of the family's 1533-position model. The record is from RNAcentral.
GAUGAACGCUGGCGGCGUGCCUAAUACAUGCAAGUCGAGCGAACGGACGAGAAGCUUGCUUUUCUGAUGUUAGCGGCGGACGGGUGAGUAACACGUGGAUAACCUACCUAUAAGACUGGGAUAACUUCGGGAAACCGGAGCUAAUACCGGAUAAUAUUUUGAACCGCAUGGUUCAAAAGUGAAAGACGGUCUUGCUGUCACUUAUAGAUGGAUCCGCGCUGCAUUAGCUAGUUGGUAAGGUAACGGCUUACCAAGGCAACGAUGCAUAGCCGACCUGAGAGGGUGAUCGGCCACACUGGAACUGAGACACGGUCCAGACUCCGACGGGAGGCAGCAGUAGGGAAUCUUCCGCAAGGGGCGAAAGCCUGACGGAGCAACGCCGCGUGAGUGAUGAAGGUCUUCGGAUCGUAAAACUCUGUUAUUAGGGAAGAACAUAUGUGUAAGUAACUGUGCACAUCUUGACGGUACCUAAUCAGAAAGCCACGGCUAACUACGUG